CAGUCUUGUCCUUCAGAAAUCAACCUGGCCUUGGUCUUGGGUGCACUUUCUGUUGGACAGGUCAGCAUCAGUUUUGGCUGUUGGAAAAAGGCUCAAGAAAUGUAGCACCCUUCGGGUGUGUUAUAGUCUCGAGCUGAAUACAGCUGCCGGGACUGAGGAUCUCAGUGUGACCUUGUGUUUGGGGGCUUUGCCUCACAACGCGCACUUAGGAUGCUGACUUAAUGGCUUUAAUCGACCCGUCUUGAAACACGGACCAAGGAGUCUAACAUGUGUGCGAGUGUU
Molecule: ribosomal RNA, 282 nt
Filed under: Acaulospora laevis
Lineage: Eukaryota; Fungi; Glomeromycota; Glomeromycetes; Diversisporales; Acaulosporaceae
Rfam family: Eukaryotic large subunit ribosomal RNA
Source: RNAcentral